RNAcentral lists this ribosomal RNA (371 nucleotides) under uncultured Alphaproteobacteria bacterium. Its description in RNAcentral is "bacterial SSU rRNA". It matches the Rfam family "Bacterial small subunit ribosomal RNA", at positions 9 to 395 of the family's 1533-position model. Lineage: Bacteria; Pseudomonadati; Pseudomonadota; Alphaproteobacteria. The record is from RNAcentral.
GAGUUUGAUCGUGGCUCAGGAUGAACGCUAGCGGCAUGCCUAACACAUGCAAGUCGAACGGGAUCCGGACUUCGGUCCGGUGAGGGUUGGCGGACGGGUGAGUAACGCGUGGGAACCUGCCCAAUGGUCUGGGAUAACCGCGGGAAACUGCGGCUAAUACCGGAUAACGCCCGAGAGGGAAAGAUUUAUCGCCGAUGGAGGGGCCCGCGUCCGAUUAGGUAGUUGGUGAGGUAACGGCUCACCAAGCCGACGAUCGGUAGCUGGUCUGAGAGGAUGAUCAGCCGACACUGGGACUGAGACUACGGCCCAGGCUCCUACGGGAGGCAGCAGUAGGGAAUCUUCCGCAAUGGACGAAAGUCUGACGGAGCAAC